RNAcentral lists this ribosomal RNA (261 nucleotides) under uncultured archaeon. RNAcentral's name for it is "partial 16S ribosomal RNA". It matches the Rfam family "Archaeal small subunit ribosomal RNA", at positions 748 to 1008 of the family's 1478-position model. The record is from RNAcentral.
CAGCCGUAAACUAUGCUCGCUAGGUGUCAGGCAUGGCGCGACCGUGUCUGGUGCCGCAGGGAAGCCGUGAAGCGAGCCACCUGGGAAGUACGGCCGCAAGGCUGAAACUUAAAGGAAUUGGCGGGGGAGCACAACAACGGGUGGAGCCUGCGGUUUAAUUGGACUCAACGCCGGACAACUCACCGGGGACGACGGCAAUAUGUAGGCCAGGCUGAAGACCUUGCCUGAAUCGCUGAGAGGAGGUGCAUGGCGUGUGACUGU